CCUACGGGAGGCAGCAGUGGGGAAUAUUGCACAAUGGGGGAAACCCUGAUGCAGCGACGCCGCGUGAGUGAAGACGUAAUUCGUUAUGUAAAGCUCUAUCAGCAGGGAAGAAAAUGACGGUACCUGAGUAAGAAGCCCCGGCUAACUACGUGCCAGCAGCCGCGGUAAUACGUCGGGGGCAAGCGUUAUCCGGAUUUACGGGGUGUAAAGGGAGCGUAGACGGCGGUGCAAGUCUGGAGUGAAAGGCUGGGGCUCAACCCCCGGACUGCUUUGGAAACUGUACGGCUGGAGUGCAGGAGAGGUAAGUGGAAUUCCUAGUGUAGCGGUGAAAUGCGUAGAUAUUAGGAGGAACACCAGUGGCGAAGGCGGCUUACUGGACUGUAACUGACGUUGAGGCUCGAAAGCGUGGGGAGCAAACAGGAUUAGAUACCCUUGUAGUC
This 440-nucleotide ribosomal RNA is filed under the name uncultured bacterium. Its description in RNAcentral is "partial 16S ribosomal RNA". It matches the Rfam family "Bacterial small subunit ribosomal RNA", at positions 338 to 795 of the family's 1533-position model. The record is from RNAcentral.